Molecule: long non-coding RNA, 2556 nt
Organism: Perognathus longimembris pacificus (Pacific pocket mouse)
Lineage: Eukaryota; Metazoa; Chordata; Mammalia; Rodentia; Heteromyidae
Exons: 2
Source: RefSeq, a predicted model, not a curated record
GAAGGAAGGAAGGAAGGAAGGACAUACAGAGUAAAGAAACAAGGAGGGCCUGUGAAACAUACUCCUCAGAAACAAUCCCUCCCAAUGUUUCAGGAAUACUGUUUAUACAGUAUUUAUACAGUUUAAAAUAUUAUCAAACUAUAUAACUUAUAAUUAUGUAUUGCAGUAGGCAUAUAUGGUUUCUUGAGAAGCAACGUAAUCACACACACUGUGUUUUAUAUUCAACUUUCCCUACUUAACACAGCAUUAUAAGCCUUUCCCCUAUUAAUCUUCUGCAUCAUAACAGUUGUAUCAAAUGUAUGGAUUUAUGUAAGCAAUUCUCCAAUCCCGCCUUUCAGCUUAUGUAUGAAAAUUGUAAAUAAUUCCAUAGUAAACAUCUUACUAACUAAAUCUCUGAGUACUGAUGAUUAUUUCUUCAGAAGAAAUUUCUAGAGUUGAAAUGUCUAAGGCAAUGUCCCACAGCAAUCUGAAUCUUUAAGAGUAACACGUUGACAAAUGAUCUCCCAGAAAUCCUGUGCCCACAUAUACUCCCCGCCUCUAAGUAGUUCUUCUAGACAUCUUGCUUUCCUCAGGAGACAUUGUACCACAGGUGUCUCUUGGGUCAUUCCACUAAAGGGCAAUAUUCUGUCCAUGGUAACAAUGCUUUGGUGGCUACCAACCCUCUGAAGUCCCCUGGGCAGUGUCAUCUGCUGCCUGGGUUAGACCUGAAAGCUCUUGGCCUGACCAAGGAGUUUCAUUUGAUGGCGGGAUCUUCAGCUUUGGGGACCAUCAUUGAAGACUGAACUUAAAUGGUUAACUCAGCCUUGAUCUUUGCUGCCUACAGCCCAAAGGGGAAGAUGGUGUCAGAUUUCUUCCCAUCAGGUGUUGACUUGGCAAGAAACUCAGCUCAUUCACAAACCACCCUCUAAAAGGGAGGCAUUUUUCUAAGCAGCAAAUGAGUACAAAACACAUCUGCAUUGACAAGUCGAAACUUAUAUCCUUCUAUGGUGUUUUUGCUAUUUUGAAAAUGUUAAUAAAAACUUAAUGUGGAAAAAAAAAACAACUUUUUUUUCCAAAUAUGUGUACCAAUGGGCCUGAGGCAACUCAUACUUUCUUAUAAAAUAAAGUAGGUCACUCACAUCAAUCAUGUCGUCUUAGCACAUUUUUUCCAAAUUAGGAAUUCUCCAUCCAUCAUACCACAUUAUGGCAUCCGUUCUCCAAACAUUUCCUUUUAAUAUGCUCUUUAACAUGAUAAGCAAAUCUAAUAGAAUACAUUAGUGUCACUUCCCAGUGAUGGAGCACUUCCUUCUGCUGCAGUCCUCCAGGAGCUCAGAGAAACAUUUUCACUAGCUAUCUCCCUGACAGCAUUCACUUAUUCAAAUGACAUCAGGGCUCCCAGUGCUGUCAAGGCCACACUUGGAUGUUAGUCUUAGAUUGCGAACAGAGUAGCAAGGGAGAGGGUGUCCCUACCUCACCCCUCGAUGUGCUGUAUAUGUAGACACCAAAAAGAAAUGUGUACCCUAACAGAGCUGUAAAUAUAGAUGCUGCACACAAGGCCAGGGUUGUCAUGUACCCUCGGCUCAGUAAAGUUGCACACAAACACACCACCACCACCCUGUGGAGAUCAACAGCUUCUGUGGUGCUGCGUUUUAAAACCACGCUGCUCAGAGAACACUUCCAAAUCUAGAUGAUGCAGAAGGGCAGGUCCUUGGCUUCCCAUGUGUGCAGUUCUCCCAACACUGCUUUCCAGCCUUUGUGUAAAGCCAUGUUCCAUUUGGAACCCAUUUGAGAUACAUAUAUUUGCAUGUUCAUCCAUGGUCAUGUGACUCUUACCUGACAAAACCCAGGGAUGGGUUUUUACUUGGCUCGCUGGUUCUCCUACUCAGGUGCUUGAGACUCGGGGAAAGGGGCUGUUGUUGUUUUGUGGUUUAAAUUUUGUUUUGUUAAAUUUUUUUGGUGCCAACACUGGGGCUUGAACUCAGGGCCUGGCACAAAUUACUUGGCUUUUCUAACUGCAGCCCGGCACUCUAUCAUUUGAGCCAUUCCUCUACUUCUGGAUUUGGGGUGGCUAAUAGGAGAUAAGAGUCUUGUGGACUUUUUGUCCCUGAUUUGCUUUGAACUGUGAUCUACAGUUCUCAGCCUUCUGAGUAGCUAGGGUUACAAGUGUGAGCCACCAAUGCCUCAAAGUUUCAGACUUUUGCACACCUAGUAGGAAAAAAAAAAUGGGAAAGGAGCAGAGAAAGUGGGGGCUGUGUGGUGGGCCUGGGGUCUUUUAUCUAGAACCACGGGGCCAUGUGGACGGUGGUUUGGAAUCCCCACCUGGGAACUACCCCAUGGCUUCUGUUUGGCGGGUGGGAAUGUAAAGCUUGGGGCGAUCAGCCACAGUAGCUGACAGCACACCACUUUUGCUUAGAGCUCAUCACUUCUUAGGCUUUGUGUCCCCAGCAACAUCAUCAACUCAUUCAUCAACAAAAAUGACAGUACUUAGGGUAGCAGGAGACACAGAAAGGAGGCACAUUCCUGCCUUUAGGGCAGCUUAAAGUCAGGCUUGAGUCAAACAGGAGAGAUGGGGAAGGG